RNAcentral lists this ribosomal RNA (253 nucleotides) under uncultured bacterium. Its description in RNAcentral is "partial 16S ribosomal RNA". It matches the Rfam family "Bacterial small subunit ribosomal RNA", at positions 524 to 776 of the family's 1533-position model. The record is from RNAcentral.
UACGGAGGGUCCAAGCGUUAUCCGGAAUCAUUGGGUUUAAAGGGUCCGUAGGCGGUUUUGUAAGUCAGUGGUGAAAGCCCAUCGCUCAACGGUGGAACGGCCAUUGAUACUGCAAGACUUGAAUUAUUGGGAAGUAACUAGAAUAUGUAGUGUAGCGGUGAAAUGCUUAGAGAUUACAUGGAAUACCAAUUGCGAAGGCAGGUUACUACCAAUAUAUUGACGCUGAUGGACGAAAGCGUGGGUAGCGAACAGG